This is a long non-coding RNA of Haliotis rufescens (red abalone), 77 nucleotides long. RefSeq lists it as uncharacterized. Lineage: Eukaryota; Metazoa; Mollusca; Gastropoda; Lepetellida; Haliotidae. The record is from RefSeq and is a predicted model, not a curated record. The transcript is spliced from 3 exons.
ACUCUGUGUUAAGGUCAAUGGUCACACGUUCCUCCAUACACAAACUCUGUGUUGAGGUCAAUGGUCACAUGUUCCUC